RNAcentral lists this ribosomal RNA (500 nucleotides) under uncultured bacterium. RNAcentral's name for it is "partial 16S ribosomal RNA". It matches the Rfam family "Bacterial small subunit ribosomal RNA", at positions 30 to 523 of the family's 1533-position model. The record is from RNAcentral.
AUUGAACGCUGGCGGCAGGCCUAACACAUGCAAGUCGAGCGGAUGAGAAGAGCUUGCUCUUCGAUUCAGCGGCGGACGGGUGAGUAAUGCCUAGGAAUCUGCCUGGUAGUGGGGGACAACGUUUCGAAGGGAACGCUAAUACCGCAUACGUCCUACGGGAGAAAGCAGGGGACCUUCGGGCCUUGCGCUAUCAGAUGAGCCUAGGUCGGAUUAGCUAGUUGGUGAGGUAAUGGCUCACCAAGGCGACGAUCCGUAACUGGUCUGAGAGGAUGAUCAGUCACACUGGAACUGAGACACGGUCCAGACUCCUACGGGAGGCAGCAGUGGGGAAUAUUGGACAAUGGGCGAAAGCCUGAUCCAGCCAUGCCGCGUGUGUGAAGAAGGUCUUCGGAUUGUAAAGCACUUUAAGUUGGGAGGAAGGGCAGUAAGUUAAUACCUUGCCGUUUUGACGUUACCGACAGAAUAAGCACCGGCUAACUCUGUGCCAGCAGCCGCAGUAA